UCUCCGUAGGUGAACCUGCGGAGGGAUCAUUAAAGUAUAACCAAGGAUCAAGGGCUGUCGAUGUGCCGAACAGUAGUACAGGGGCAAAUAGCCCCCCACACAUCCAUUUGACCACUAAGUGGACGACCAAGGUAAUCCGCGUUUUGCUUGUUCGGAGGUGGCCUUACGAUUUCAAAUAACCUUAUGUAGAAGUGUUGAUGUUAUUUUGAGUUCUUUCGAAAACGCAUUCAAUACAACAUUCAACAACGGAUAUCUUGACUCUUACAUCGGUAAAGAUAGUAUCAAGGUGGCCGAGUGAGAACCUGCGGAGUAUUAACUAUUGUGUACCCGUGUUUCGUGACCUGCCGCUGACCCGAAGCUUAGUGCCUGUCCUAGAGCACUCACAAGCAGCCAACUGUACCCGAUGUUAUCUCUCUCUUGGGUCCCCCUUUUGAUAGUUCUGAGGCGGGCUUAAGUUUUUUCAUAAACUUUCUAUGUCGUGUAGAAAGUAUUUUUCGUUAUUGCGAUAACGAAAACAAUACAACUUUCAACAACGGAUCUCUUGGCUCUU
This 550-nucleotide unclassified non-coding RNA is filed under the name plant metagenome. Its description in RNAcentral is "partial contains small subunit ribosomal RNA, internal transcribed spacer 1, and 5.8S ribosomal RNA". The record is from RNAcentral.